GAUGAACGCUGGCGGCGUGCUUAACACAUGCAAGUCGAACGAAGCACCUUGAUUCGAUUCUUCGGAUGAAGAUCUUGGUGACUGAGUGGCGGACGGGUGAGUAACGCGUGGGUAACCUGCCUCAUACAGGGGGAUAACAGUUAGAAAUGACUGCUAAUACCGCAUAAGACCACAGCACCGCAUGGUGCAGGGGUAAAAACUCCGGUGGUAUGAGAUGGACCCGCGUCUGAUUAGGUAGUUGGUGGGGUAACGGCCUACCAAGCCGACGAUCAGUAGCCGACCUGAGAGGGUGACCGGCCACAUUGGGACUGAGACACGGCCCAAACUCCUACGGGAGGCAGCAGUGGGGAAUAUUGCACAAUGGGGGAAACCCUGAUGCAGCGACGCCGCGUGAGCGAUGAAGUAUUUCGGUAUGUAAAGCUCUAUCAGCAGGGAAGAAAAUGACGGUACCUGACUAAGAAGCACCGGCUAAAUACGU
RNAcentral lists this ribosomal RNA (478 nucleotides) under uncultured bacterium. RNAcentral's name for it is "partial 16S ribosomal RNA". It matches the Rfam family "Bacterial small subunit ribosomal RNA", at positions 28 to 506 of the family's 1533-position model. The record is from RNAcentral.